Non-coding RNA from Pelobates cultripes (western spadefoot toad), 268 nucleotides. NCBI's taxonomy places the organism in Eukaryota, Metazoa, Chordata, Amphibia, Anura, Pelobatidae. The record is from the annotation of a GenBank genome assembly.
GUCUGAUGGGGGUAGGCAGGCUGUUCCUAAAGAAAGCCUCGAGAAGUCCUGAAAGCGUGAGUUAGCUGUAAGGGUGCGAGCAGCGGACAGGAGAAGGGCACCGGAAGAGCGGAGAGAACGAGAAGGGGCAUAUCUAUGGAUAAGGGAAGAAAUGUAAGAGGAGCUAGAGUUGGUUAGAACUUUAUAGGUAAGGUUUAGUAUUUUGAAUUGACACCUAUAGGAUACAGGAAGCCAGUGUAAGGAUCAACAGAGGGGCGAGGUAUGGGAG